UCUUCUUCUGAGUAUGACUCAAGCUUCAGCUCAAAUGCAUCAGCAUCAACAAUACUAGUGGAUGAGAUCCCAUGCGAGAAGCAAAAAACUGAGAAUGCUAAUAAUGCAGUGUCUGCUAAAAAGCGGGUUGAACGUGUCUUUCAAAGCAAGUCUGGUGGUGUAGAAGUUUUGCAGGAGUAUAAAACAACAGAAACCCUAAGUGAUGCCACAAGAAGACAAAUGGUGAACAUACUGGUGGCUCACAUGAUUGAUAAACAUGGGCACCUUCCUGCUAAAGCAAUGAGAGAGGAGUAUGCCCUUGGGAAAGGGACACUCUUCCCAUCCCUGAAAGAUCCAUACACCUAAAAAGGCUAUGAGCACUUUUAUGAUGCCGCAAGCAGCACAGGAUACAUUUCAUGGCGUCUUAAAACAGUCCAAAGGAAGAUUCGAAGAGGAUCUCUUGUGCCACCAAGUAGCUCCAAAGACAUUUCAUGUGGCGGCCCAAAUAUCCAGAGAAAUGUGGUUGUUGAAAGACAGCUUGAUGGGGAUGCCUGCCAGGAAGCCAUAUCCCUGCUUAACCACACCACAGACAGGUCCCCGAUCCUUCAGAAGAUGAGAGAGACUUUUGAGCACCAUCACAAACUUAUUAGAGAUGCCAGCGGAAGAACUGAUAUUCUGACAAUGUUCCCCAGGUUCCUGGACACAAAAGGAUUGAUUGAUCAAGACUUCAGUCUUCUGGUUAAUGAAGAAACCUCCUCCAGACUGCUGCAGAAGUGGGAUGUGUUCUUCAAAUCAAAUGUUAUCAAGGAGGCUAAGCGUCUCACUUCAACACCUCAGUUGAGACGUUUGGUGCAGUCAGCGGAAAUCCCUCAAGGAGAUGACCAGGAUAAGACAUCUACCUAUGACCAAGAAAUGGCCCCCUUGUUACUGCUCCUACAUCUCCUUCCACCACCACCUGGAGGACAGAAGUUUCCAAAAAUCAGUGCAUGUGAUGCAGUUGAGAGACUUUCAUAAGGCA
This is a long non-coding RNA of Archocentrus centrarchus (flier cichlid), 997 nucleotides long. RefSeq lists it as uncharacterized. The transcript is spliced from 6 exons. The record is from RefSeq and is a predicted model, not a curated record. Lineage: Eukaryota; Metazoa; Chordata; Actinopteri; Cichliformes; Cichlidae.